This 31-nucleotide non-coding RNA is filed under the name Homo sapiens (human). Lineage: Eukaryota; Metazoa; Chordata; Mammalia; Primates; Hominidae. The record is from RNAcentral.
UCAGCUGGAGAGCUGCCCCUGGAGCCAGAGC